This 63-nucleotide transfer RNA is filed under the name Aporia potanini intercostata. RNAcentral describes it as "tRNA-Ser". The record is from RNAcentral. Lineage: Eukaryota; Metazoa; Arthropoda; Insecta; Lepidoptera; Pieridae.
AGAAAUAUUUUAUAUUAGGCUGCUGACUUAAUUUUUAGUGAUUAAUAAUCAUUAAUAUUUCUA